UACGUAGGGACCAAGCGUUGUUCGGAUUUACUGGGCGUAAAGCGCACGCAGGCGGCCGAGCAAGUCGAGUGUGAAAGCCCCGAGCUUAACUUGGGAACUGCGCUCGAAACUACUUGGCUAGAGUGUGGCAGAGGGAGGUGGAAUUCCACGUGUAGCGGUGAAAUGCGUAGAGAUGUGGAGGAACACCGAUGGCGAAGGCAGCCUCCUGGGCCAACACUGACGCUCAUGCACGAAAGCGUGGGGAGCAAACAGG
Molecule: ribosomal RNA, 253 nt
Filed under: uncultured prokaryote
Description: partial 16S ribosomal RNA
Rfam family: Bacterial small subunit ribosomal RNA
Source: RNAcentral